AACGAACGCUGGCGGCAGGCCUAACACAUGCAAGUCGAACGAACCGUUUACGGUGAGUGGCGCACGGGUGAGUAACACGUGGGAAUAUACAUUUCGGUAAGGAAUAACGUAGAGAAAUUUACGCUAAUACCUUAUAAUGACUACGGUCCAAAGAUUUAUCGCCGAAGGAUUAGCCCGCGUUAGAUUAGGUAGUUGGUAGGGUAAUGGCCUACCAAGCCUACGAUCUAUAGCUGGUCUUAGAGGAUGAUCAGCCACACUGGAACUGAGACACGGUCCAGACUCCUACGGGAGGCAGCAGGGAGGAAUAUUGCGCACUGGGGGAAACCCUGACGCAGCCAUGCCGCGUGAGUGACGAAGGCCUUAGGGUUGUAAAGCUCUUUCAGAUGUAAAGAUAAUGACGGUAACAUCAGAAGAAGCUCCGGCUAAAUUCGUGCCAGCCGCCGCAGUAA
Molecule: ribosomal RNA, 449 nt
Filed under: uncultured bacterium
Lineage: Bacteria
Description: partial 16S ribosomal RNA
Rfam family: Bacterial small subunit ribosomal RNA
Source: RNAcentral